UGGGUGGUAAAUUUCACCUAAGGCUAAAUAUAUGCAAGAGACCGAUAGCGAACAAGUACCGUGAGGGAAAGAUGAAAAGAACUUUGAAAAGAGAGUUAAACAGUACGUGAAAUUGUUGAAAGGGAAACGAUUGAAGUCAGUCAUGCUAGUGAGGAAUCAGCUUGGUGGAAUCAUCUUCCUUGUGUACUUUCUCACUUUGGCAAGUUAGCAUCAAUUUUAAUUGUCAUCAAAGAAUCGAGGGAAUGUGUCUCACCUUCGGGGGAGUGUUUAUAGACCUUGAUCAAUGUGGCGAUUGAGAUUGAGGAUUGCAGCGAAUGCUCUCGGGCUAGUCACCUGUCUCCUGGCUGUUACCUUACUUUCGACAGCUUUGCUGACGCUUGUGAGAUUUUUCGGUCUAGGUGAUAGAAUGAACAUAAAUUCGCUAAGGAUGCUGACGUAAUGGCUUUAAACGACCCGUCUUGAAACACGGACCAAGGAGUCUAACAUGUGUGCGAGUGUUUGGGUGUUAAAACCCUUAACGCGUAAUGAAAGUGAUUCUGGUGGGAACCCUCACGGGUGCACCAUCGACC
RNAcentral lists this ribosomal RNA (569 nucleotides) under uncultured Glomeromycotina. RNAcentral's name for it is "eukaryotic LSU rRNA". It matches the Rfam family "Eukaryotic large subunit ribosomal RNA", at positions 293 to 766 of the family's 3401-position model. Lineage: Eukaryota; Fungi; Glomeromycota. The record is from RNAcentral.